Molecule: long non-coding RNA, 619 nt
Filed under: Eutrema salsugineum
Lineage: Eukaryota; Viridiplantae; Streptophyta; Magnoliopsida; Brassicales; Brassicaceae
Description: long non-coding RNA (ESAL_LNC000451)
Source: RNAcentral
UUACAAUAAGUUUACAAACAUAUCUAGGAUCUUCUUAAUUAAAGCAAUACUUUGUAAGAGAGAUCAUGAGUGAAGAAGUUAGGUAGCUCAGGAGGGACAUAUAAAGGAGAGAGAAUAUGAAUCCUACGAAAAUACAACAAAAUCUUGAUCAAUUUAGCUGAGACAAACAACUAAAGUAGAAACUGGACAGUAACGAGAAAUCUAGAAAAUGGAAAUAGUAAGAAGACAGAAAAGGGUAGAGUAAAGGUCUUACAAGGUCAAGAAAAAAGAAGAGGAUAUACUAAUUAUAAGAAAGAAAAAAAGAAGAAGAAGCUCAUGGGUAGGAUAGCGUCAUUGAUUUGAUCAUGAAGAAGAACAGUUCAUUAUCAUCUUCUUCUUCUUCUUCUUGAUAUAGCCUUUUUGUCCUAAGCCAAUAGAAAAUUAUGGACUACAUAAGUUAUAUACAUAAUUAAUAUAAUUCGUGUGUGUAUGUGUAUGUGUGUGUGUGUGUGUGUUUAUACCUUGAUCAUGACACCUUGGUGGUUCUUUAAUCCAUGAAACGCUUUCAAAUUCAUCCAUAGCCUGAAAGAGAGAUAGAGAAUGUCUUUCAUAAAAAUUUAUAUAUAUAGACAUAUGUUCA